GACGAACGCUGGCGGCGUGCUUAACACAUGCAAGUCGUACGGUAAGGCCCUUUCGGGGGUACACGAGUGGCGAACGGGUGAGUAACACGUGAGUAACCUGCCCACAACUUUGGGAUAACGCUAGGAAACUGGUGCUAAUACUGGAUAUGUGCUCCUGCUGCAUGGUGGGGGUUGGAAAGCUCCGGCGGUUGUGGAUGGACUCGCGGCCUGUCAGCUUGUUGGUGGGGUAGUGGCCUACCAAGGCGGCGACGGGUAGCCGGCCUGAGAGGGUGACCGGCCACAUUGGGACUGAGAUACGGCCCAGACUCCUACGGGAGGCAGCAGUGGGGAAUAUUGCACAAUGGGCGCAAGCCUGAUGCAGCAACGCCGCGUGCGGGAUGACGGCCUUCGGGUUGUAAACCGCUUUCAGCAGGGACGAAGCUUUUUGUGACGGUACCUGCAGAAGAAGCACCGGCUAACUACGUG
RNAcentral lists this ribosomal RNA (465 nucleotides) under uncultured bacterium. Its description in RNAcentral is "partial 16S ribosomal RNA". It matches the Rfam family "Bacterial small subunit ribosomal RNA", at positions 28 to 507 of the family's 1533-position model. The record is from RNAcentral.